AUUGAACGCUGGCGGCAGGCCUAACACAUGCAAGUCGAACGGUAACAGAAAGCAGCUUGCUGCUUUGCUGACGAGUGGCGGACGGGUGAGUAAUGUCUGGGAAACUGCCUGAUGGAGGGGGAUAACUACUGGAAACGGUAGCUAAUACCGCAUAACGUCGCAAGACCAAAGAGGGGGACCUUCGGGCCUCUUGCCAUCGGAUGUGCCCAGAUGGGAUUAGCUAGUAGGUGGGGUAAAGGCUCACCUAGGCGACGAUCCCUAGCUGGUCUGAGAGGAUGACCAGCCACACUGGAACUGAGACACGGUCCAGACUCCUACGGGAGGCAGCAGUGGGGAAUAUUGCACAAUGGGCGCAAGCCUGAUGCAGCCAUGCCGCGUGUAUGAAGAAGGUCUUCGGGUUGUAAAGUACUUUCAGCGGGGAGGAAGGGAGUAAAGUUAAUACCUUUGCUCAUUGACGUUACCCGCAGAAGAAGCACCGGCUAACUCCGUG
Molecule: ribosomal RNA, 490 nt
Filed under: uncultured bacterium
Lineage: Bacteria
Description: partial 16S ribosomal RNA
Rfam family: Bacterial small subunit ribosomal RNA
Source: RNAcentral